RNAcentral lists this ribosomal RNA (406 nucleotides) under uncultured bacterium. Its description in RNAcentral is "partial 16S ribosomal RNA". It matches the Rfam family "Bacterial small subunit ribosomal RNA", at positions 30 to 526 of the family's 1533-position model. The record is from RNAcentral.
AUUGAACGCUGGCGGCAGGCCUAACACAUGCAAGUCGAGCGAUCGGCGGACGGGUGAGUAAUGUAUGGGGCUCUGCUCGAUAGAGGGGGAUAACUACUGGAAACGGUGGUUAAUACCGCAUACUAUCGGAUGAACCCCUAUGGGAUUAGCUAGUAGGUGGGGUAAAGGCUCACCUAGGCGACGAUCUCUAGCUGGUCUGAGAGGAUGAUCAGCCACACUGGAACUGGGACACGGCCCAUACGCCUACGGGAGGCAGCAGUGGGGAAUAUUGCAAAAUGGUCGCAAGCCUGAUGCAGCCAGGCCGCGUGUAUGAAGAAGGCCUUAGUGUUUUAAAGUACUUUCAGCGGGGAGGCGUUACCCGCAGAAGAAGCACCGGCUAACUCCGUGCCAGCAGCCGCGGUAAUUC